RNAcentral lists this ribosomal RNA (910 nucleotides) under Pyrenophora graminea. Its description in RNAcentral is "LSU rRNA". It matches the Rfam family "Eukaryotic large subunit ribosomal RNA", at positions 38 to 961 of the family's 3401-position model. Lineage: Eukaryota; Fungi; Ascomycota; Dothideomycetes; Pleosporales; Pleosporaceae. The record is from RNAcentral.
GCAUAUCAAUAAGCGGAGGAAAAGAAACCAACAGGGAUUGCCCUAGUAACGGCGAAGUGAAGCGGCAACAGCUCAAAUUUGAAAUCUGGCUCUUUUAGAGUCCGAGUUGUAAUUUGCAGAGGGCGCUUUGGCUUUGGCAGCGGUCCAAGUUCCUUGGAACAGGACGUCACAGAGGGUGAGAAUCCCGUACGUGGUCGCUAGCUAUUGCCGUGUAAAGCCCCUUCGACGAGUCGAGUUGUUUGGGAAUGCAGCUCUAAAUGGGAGGUAAAUUUCUUCUAAAGCUAAAUACUGGCCAGAGACCGAUAGCGCACAAGUAGAGUGAUCGAAAGAUGAAAAGCACUUUGGAAAGAGAGUCAAACAGCACGUGAAAUUGUUGAAAGGGAAGCGCUUGCAGCCAGACUUGCUUGCAGUUGCUCAUCCGGGCUCUUUUGCCCGGUGCAUUCUUCUGCAGGCAGGCCAGCAUCAGUUUGGGCGGUGGGAUAAAGGUCUCUGUCACGUACCUCUCUUCGGGGAGGCCUUAUAGGGGAGACGACAUACCACCAGCCUGGACUGAGGUCCGCGCAUUUAUGCUAGGAUGCUGGCGUAAUGGCUGUAAGCGGCCCGUCUUGAAACACGGACCAAGGAGUCUAACAUCUAUGCGAGUGUUUGGGUGUCAAGCCCGAACGCGUAAUGAAAGUGAACGGAGGUGGGAACCCGCAAGGGUGCACCAUCGACCGAUCCUGAUGUCUUCGGAAGGAUUUGAGUAAGAGCAUGGCUGUUGGGACCCGAAAGAUGGUGAACUAUGCUUGAAUAGGGUGAAGCCAGAGGAAACUCUGGUGGAGGCUCGCAGCGGUUCUGACGUGCAAAUCGAUCGUCAAAUUUGGGCAUAGGGGCGAAAGACUAAUCGAACUAUCUAGUAGCUGGUUCUGCG